GGGUAAUUAUUUGAAUGCAUCGACCUGGAGUGAAUAUUUAGAGGCACGUUCAUUCUAUCCUUUUUUCAAUGCUAGCGGUCAUGGGAAUAGUGGCUGUUGACUCUUCCAUUAGGAUAACGCCUAAAGAAAGACGUGGGGCCAGUGGGCAGAUGCCAUGUUGCCAUAUUUUGAUUCUCGAAGCGUUGUUGGGAUUUAUUCUUAACGAUGGGAAGAUAACAUAAUUUAUUAGUUGGUAGACAAUUGUAUCCACUCCAGCUUUCGAUUGGCGGUUGAUGUAGGCUUUGGUGUUUAUAAAUAAAGACCAACGGAUGGAGAAACCCAAUCUUUCAUCUUCUUCUUUCGCAGAAAUUCCUUCCUUCUGCCGUGAUGGCAUCACCCUCACACUCCCUUUUGCAUCCUCUUUUGCCAUUGGUGCAGGCCAGAGUAAAGGAGAGGUGGGCCUUUAUAAGAGAGGCAUG
This 458-nucleotide long non-coding RNA is filed under the name Elaeis guineensis (African oil palm). Its description in RNAcentral is "long non-coding RNA (EGUI_LNC009277)". The record is from RNAcentral. Lineage: Eukaryota; Viridiplantae; Streptophyta; Magnoliopsida; Arecales; Arecaceae.